CUGUGUCUACAGGCUAAGUCUCUGUAGGUUUCUGUGUCUACAGGCUUAGUCUCUGUAGGUUUCUGUGUCUACAGGCUAAGUCUCUGGAGGUUUCUGUGUCUACAGGCUAAGUCUCUGUAGGUUUCUGUGUCUACAGGCUAAGUCUCUGUAGGUUUCUGUGUCUACAGGCUAAGUCUCUGUAGGUUUCUGUGUCUACAGGCUAAGUCUCUGUAGGUUUCUGUGUCUACAGGCUAAGUCUCUGUAGGUUUCUGUGUCUACAGGCUAAGUCUCUGUAGGUUUCUGUGUCUACAGGCUAAGUCUCUGUAGGUUUCUGUGUCUACAGGCUAAGUCUCUGUAGGUUUCUGUGUCUACAGGCUAAGUCUCUGUAGGUUUCUGUGUCUACAGGCUAAGUCUCUGUAGGUUUCUGUGUCUACAGGCUAAGUCUCUGUAGGUUUCUGUGUCUACAGGCUAAGUCUCUGUAGGUUUCUGUGUCUACAGGCUAAGUCUCUGUAGGUUUCUGUGUCUACAGGCUAAGUCUCUGUAGGUUUCUGUGUCUACAGGCUAAGUCUCUGUAGGUUUCUGUGUCUACAGGCUAAGUCUCUGUAGGUUUCUGUGUCUACAGGCUAAGUCUCUGUAGGUUUCUGUGUCUACAGGCUAAGUCUCUGUAGGUUUCUGUGUCUACAGGCUAAGUCUCUGUAGGUUUCUGUGUCUACAGGCUAAGUCUCUGUAGGUUUCUGUGUCUACAGGCUAAGUCUCUGUAGGUUUCUGUGUCUACAGGCUAAGUCUCUGUAGGUUUCUGUGUCUACAGGCUAAGUCUCUGUAGGUUUCUGUGUCUACAGUACAUGGAGUUCUUAAGAUCUUUGAGAUAUGUCCGUCCAGCAUGGCUGUGGGUCAUUCAGCGUUUAGGAGCCUUAACUCCUCUUACCUUGUUCUCAACGUGUUGUCACUUAAAGAGCAGCGCCUUCAAUUAAUACCCAUUGAUUUAGUUAAAUGUAACAUUCAAAUGUUAGUAAGAAAAGCAGUUUUUUUGUGUGCAGCCUUUCCUGUCAAAACAAUGGUCCCGCAGGACUCCUGAGAAUCCUGGAGAAUCAUUAUUUUAACUCUGUAUCUU
Long non-coding RNA from Oncorhynchus keta (chum salmon), 1090 nucleotides. RefSeq lists it as uncharacterized. NCBI's taxonomy places the organism in Eukaryota, Metazoa, Chordata, Actinopteri, Salmoniformes, Salmonidae. The record is from RefSeq and is a predicted model, not a curated record. The transcript is spliced from 4 exons.